RNAcentral lists this ribosomal RNA (250 nucleotides) under uncultured bacterium. RNAcentral's name for it is "partial 16S ribosomal RNA". It matches the Rfam family "Bacterial small subunit ribosomal RNA", at positions 524 to 776 of the family's 1533-position model. The record is from RNAcentral.
UACGAAGGGGGCAAGCGUUGUUCGGAAUUACUGGGCGUAAAGGCGCGUAGGCGGUGCACUAAGUCAGGCGUGAAAGCCCUGGGCUCAACCCGGAAUUGCGCUUGGUACUGGUGCGCUUGAAUCCAGGAGAGGUUGGUGGAAUUCCCAGUGUAGAGGUGAAAUUCGUAGAGAUUGGGAAGAACACCGGUGGCGAAGGCGGCCAACUGGACUGGUAUUGACGCUGAGGCGCGAAAGCGUGGGAGCAAACAGG